AUUGAACGCUGGCGGCAUGCUUUACACAUGCAAGUCGAACGGCAGCGGGGGCUUCGGUCCGCCGGCGAGUGGCGAACGGGUGAGUAAUGCAUCGGAACGUGCCCAGUCGUGGGGGAUAACACAUCGAAAGAUGUGCUAAUACCGCAUACGUCCUGAGGGAGAAAGCGGGGGAUCUUCGGACCUCGCGCGAUUGGAGCGGCCGAUGUCGGAUUAGCUAGUUGGUGGGGUAAAGGCCCACCAAGGCGACGAUCCGUAGCGGGUCUGAGAGGAUGAUCCGCCACACUGGGACUGAGACACGGCCCAGACUCCUACGGGAGGCAGCAGUGGGGAAUUUUGGACAAUGGGGGCAACCCUGAUCCAGCCAUGCCGCGUGAGUGAAGAAGGCCUCGGUGUAAGACUCUUCGUACGGAAGAAAUACGCCGCCUCUAACACAGCGGUGGAGUGACGGUA
RNAcentral lists this ribosomal RNA (450 nucleotides) under uncultured bacterium. Its description in RNAcentral is "bacterial SSU rRNA". It matches the Rfam family "Bacterial small subunit ribosomal RNA", at positions 29 to 477 of the family's 1533-position model. The record is from RNAcentral.